This is a long non-coding RNA of Girardinichthys multiradiatus, 1216 nucleotides long. RefSeq lists it as uncharacterized. NCBI's taxonomy places the organism in Eukaryota, Metazoa, Chordata, Actinopteri, Cyprinodontiformes, Goodeidae. The record is from RefSeq and is a predicted model, not a curated record. The transcript is spliced from 2 exons.
GUUGUAUGUUUUUGUCUGUGUUUUUUUACUCCUACUAGGCGCUAGUGCUCAGCAGUGGUGGAGACAGGUGUUUUCCAUCUCGGUGAUUGAGUCCUGGAGUACUUAAGCAGGAGACAGCCAGUAUCUCGUCGCUCAAGUAUUAGCCUCUGUUGUCGCUACUCAGCCAGCCUCUUAUUAAUUAAGUUUAUGUGUACUUUGCCUCCGACAACGUUUAACUUGUUCUUUGUUCUUCUUAGUGAACUGAACCGGCGACUACCUGGACGUUACCCAGGCUGGCCCAGGUGGCUUCGUUUCACACUAGGCGUGCUCCUAGGAUCUCCCCAGGAAGGAUCUUCCACACACACACCUACCCGACACCAAAUUCUGGAACUACUCCCGCUAGCUGCUUCCGGACCCGGAUUCUCCAGAGACCAUUCAACCUAACCUGUCCACCCUCCAUCUCUCCGCUGACGCUUCACCUGCACUCCAAGCUCUAACCCAAGUAACUAAGAAAUCACUGGACUUACCAUUGUCUCCAUAUUCACUUCUUCUCCAGUCCAAAUCCCUCUCCUCCUGGCGGAUUGCCUACUCCCUCCUAAUAAGAGACAGUUCACAUUUAAGUUCCGAUUUUGUUUACUGUGCCACUUACCUGUCGUUUUUCCUCAGAGUUGUUCCCGCUCUCCAUACCGAUCCAUUCUCCUUGUCAAAUCCUGGUCAUUUUUGCCUGCUACUAACCCUCUUCCACCAGUAGGGGCGUUAAGAGCUGAGGAGCUUGUCGUCAGGUGUUUUGCAUAAUUGUCAUCAGCUGGAGGACUAUAAGAAGGAGGCGAGCCAGUACUUCGAUGCCUGAGUGUUUGGCCUCUUCGUGGUAUUUUACCUGGCCAAAUCAUGGUUUUGAUUAUUGCUUGUCUGAGAAGAUUCUAAUUCUUGUUCCUUGACUAAUAUUUUGUUUUUGUCUCAGGUUGACAGAUAUCUGAAGGAACUUUCCAAUAGCUUUUUGGACUCUGGAUUCUUGUUUUUGUUCCACUGGCAACCAGAUUAGAGAUUGUUCUCACAGCUUCAUGCGAACCCUGUCCACCCUCCUCCAAGCCUCUCAGGACUCAUCUGCUACGGCAGUGCUGCAUAGCCACCUCUUACCAGGAUCACAACCUCUCUCCCUGGCAGACUUAACUCUACCCAAUUCUCCCUGCUACUACGGUUUCCUGCACCAGAUUUUCUAAUAAACGUUUUUACUAAA